AGAGUUUGAUCCUGGCUCAGGAUGAACGCUAGCGACAGGCUUAACACAUGCAAGUCGAGGGGCAGCGAGGGAGUGGCAACACUCCCGUCGGCGACCGGCGCACUGGUGAGUAACACGUAUGCGACCUGCCCCGGACAGGGGGAUAAGCCCGGGAAACUGGGUCUAAUACCCCAUACGCCUGACGGAUGCAUGUCCGUCCGGUGAAAGAUCCGUCGGUCCGGGAUGGGCAUGCGGCGCAUUAGCUGGUUGGCGGGGCAACGGCCCACCAAGGCGACGAUGCGUAGGGGUUCUGAGAGGAAGGUCCCCCACACUGGUACUGAGACACGGACCAGACUCCUACGGGAGGCAGCAGUGAGGAAUAUUGGUCAAUGGACGGUAGUCUGAACCAGCCAAGUCGCGUGCGGGAUGAAGGCCCUCCGGGUCGUAAACCGCUUUAGCCGGGGAGUAACGUGUGGGACGCGUCCCUCAGUGAGAGUACCCGGAGAAUAAGCAUCGGCUAACUCCGUGCCAGCAGCCGCGGUAAUACGGAGGAUGCGAGCGUUAUCCGGAUUUAUUGGGUUUAAAGGGUGCGCAGGCGGCUUGUCAAGUCAGCGGUCAAACUUCGGGGCUCAACCCCGUAUCGCCGUUGAAACUGGCGGGCUCGAGUGCGUGCGAUGUGGGCGGAAUGCGCGGUGUAGCGGUGAAAUGCAUAGAUAUCGCGCAGAACUCCGAUUGCGAAGGCAGCCUCCAAGCACGCCACUGACGCUCAUGCACGAAAGCGUGGGUAUCGAACAGGAUUAGAUACCCUGGUAGUCCACGCGGUAAACGAUGAUAACUAGUUAUCCGGCGCGAUUGUGUGCUGGGUGACCGAGCGAAAGCGUUAAGUUAUCCACCUGGGGAGUACGCCGGCAACGGUGAAACUCAAAGGAAUUGACGGGGGCCCGCACAAGCAGUGGAGUAUGUGGUUUAAUUCGACGCAACGCGAAGAACCUUACCUGGUCUUGACAUCCCGUGCAUAGCAUAGAGAUAUGUGAAGUCCUUCGGGACACGGAGACAGGUGGUGCAUGGUUGUCGUCAGCUCGUGUCGUGAGAUGUUGGGUUAAGUCCCGCAACGAGCGCAACCCUUGCCAACAGUUACUACGAAAGAGGACUCUGUUGGGACCGCCGUUGACAAAACGGAGGAAGGUGGGGAUGACGUCAAAUCAUCAUGCCCUUUAUGACCUGGGCUACACACGUGCUACAAUGGCCACCACAGAGAGGGGCGAACCCGCAAGGGGGAGCGGAUCUCAAAAAAGUGGUCCCAGUUCGGAUUGUGGGCUGCAACCCGCCCACAUGAAGUCGGAGUUGCUAGUAAUCGCGGAUCAGCAUGCCGCGGUGAAUACGUUCCCGGGCCUUGUACACACCGCCCGUCACACCAUGGGAGUUGGGAGUGCCCAAAGUCGGUGAGGUAACCGCAAGGAGCCAGCCGCCUAAGGCAAGACCAAUGACUGGGGUGAAGUCGUAACAAGGUAACC
This 1493-nucleotide ribosomal RNA is filed under the name uncultured rumen bacterium. RNAcentral describes it as "bacterial SSU rRNA". It matches the Rfam family "Bacterial small subunit ribosomal RNA". The record is from RNAcentral.